Molecule: ribosomal RNA, 167 nt
Filed under: uncultured eukaryote
Lineage: Eukaryota
Description: partial large subunit ribosomal RNA
Rfam family: Eukaryotic large subunit ribosomal RNA
Source: RNAcentral
AUAUUAUUAAGCGGAGGAAAAGGAACCAACAGGGAUUCCCUGAGUAACGGCGAGUGAAAGGGGAGAAGCUCAAGAUUGAAUCGGGUGACCCUCGCGGGCACUUGAGUUGUAAUCUAUAGGUAACUUGGUUAUACCUCGUGGACUUGGCAUAAACCUUUGAAAAAGGU